This is an RNA transcript of Hibiscus syriacus, 1589 nucleotides long. It is a transcript of the gene named trihelix transcription factor ASIL2-like, with no coding region annotated. NCBI's taxonomy places the organism in Eukaryota, Viridiplantae, Streptophyta, Magnoliopsida, Malvales, Malvaceae. The record is from RefSeq and is a predicted model, not a curated record. The transcript is spliced from 3 exons.
AAGCUGUUUUCGGAAACGUUAAGCAGGCCAGCGGCAACAAAAAAGGUAACGUGAAAAAAAUGCCAACUGGACUAGUUGUAGCCGAGACUAAUCCGAUGAAUGACCCGAGCCACCUGAGCCAGCCAGUCGGCCCAACCUCACGCGCUCUCUCUCUCACGCAUCCCGGCGAUCCCCCCUUUUCCCCUAUUAUUCCCUUUCCCUGCUAUCACGCUCCUCUCAUGUGUCGGCCGAGUCAUCGCCGAACCCUUUUUAAAAAUCACUAACCCUAAAUUAUUCCCUUUCUAAUAAAAAAACAGCCCUCCUCCUUUCGUUGUUUCAAUGGCCGAUAUCACCGAUUCCGUUACGCCGUUGGCUAUGAUCACCCCUCCUUCAACCACUCCCGGCUCACGUAUACCCGUACGUGAGGAUUGUUGGUCCGAGGAAGCUACGUCCACCCUCAUCGACGCUUGGGGUCGACGUUACGUCGAGCUUAAUCGUGGGAACCUCCGUCAGAAGGACUGGCAGGAUGUCGCCGACGCCUUUAAUGCUCUUCACGGUCAUAAUAAGAAGACCCAUCGUACCGAUGUUCAGUGUAAGAACCGGAUUGAUACCAUCAAGAAGAAGUAUAAGAUCGAGAAGACUACGGUUUCGGCUUCUAACGGAACCCUAACGUCGUCGUGGCCAUUCUUCGAACGAUUGGAUUCUCUCAUCGGAUCCAAUUUUGCAGCUAAAAAGGUAUCACUGUCGCCUAAGAUGUCACCGAAGCCGUCGCCGAGGAUCCCCGGGUCUCCUCCUGUGGCUCUUCCGCUUCCGUUACCGUACAGGAAAACUCCGGCGCCGGUCACGGCCACGGUUGUCGCACUCCCGCAGAAGAGGCCGGCUGUCGACGAUGGGUAUUUCAAGAGAAAUUUUACGGCCGUGGCUGCUGCUGCAGCGGCUUCUGCUGUAGAGAGUGACGAGGAAGAGGGAGAGGAAAGUGAAGGUGAAGGGGAGGAAAGGGAAGGGAUGAAGAGAUUGGCAAGAGCGAUAGAAAGGUUUGGUCAAGUGUAUGAAAGGGUGGAAGGAGAGAAGCUGAGGCAGAUGGUGGAACUGGAGAAGAAAAGAAUGCAGUUUGCUAAAGAUUUGGAGGUGCAGAGGAUGAGGAUGUUUAUGGAUACGAAGGUGCAGCUCGAGAAGAUCAAGCGUGUUAAACGUUCCUCAGGUUCCAGUGAUAUUUACAGCUAGCCAGUCUGGGGAAGAGUUUUGACAGAUAUUUCCAUGAAGAAUAUAAUAUUUCACCAUUUACACUCAUCCCUUGAAAGUAUAUAUAGAUAUAUAUAGUUAUUCUGGUAGAUACUGGACUCAGAACUCAGAAGAUAACCAGCAGUUGGCAGAUAACAUUGCCUGAAGCUUCAAAGUUCCUUUCUUUUGCCUUUUGCCUUUUGCCCUUCAUUUGGGGGUUACAAAAACUGAAGUUGUAAUUUAAUUUGGACCUACACAUUUUGGUCCUAUGUAUUUUGUUUUAGUUAACUUUUUGUCUUUUUUUUUGUAAGUCUGUUUGCUGAAAUGGACAAGAUUAGGUUGUAUUCUGAAACACUUGUGGUAACUAUCCCCCGCCAAAAGCUUUGAUU